AUUGAACGCUGGCGGCAGGCCUAACACAUGCAAGUCGAGCGGUAACACAGGGAGCUUGCUCCUGGGUGACGAGCGGCGGACGGGUGAGUAAUGUCUGGGAAACUGCCUGAUGGAGGGGGAUAACUACUGGAAACGGUAGCUAAUACCGCAUAACGUCGCAAGACCAAAGAGGGGGACCUUCGGGCCUCUUGCCAUCAGAUGUGCCCAGAUGGGAUUAGCUAGUAGGUGGGGUAACGGCUCACCUAGGCGACGAUCCCUGGCUGGUCUGAGAGGAUGACCAGCCACACUGGAACUGAGACACGGUCCAGACUCCUACGGGAGGCAGCAGUGGGGAAUAUUGCACAAUGGGCGCGAGCCUGAUGCAGCCAUGCCGCGUGUAUGAAGAAGGCCUUCGGGUUGUAAAGUACUUUCAGCGGGGAGGAAGGUGUUGAGGUUAAUAACCUCAGCAAUUGACGUUACCCGCAGAAGAAGCACCGGCUAACUCCGUGCCAGCCGCCGCAGUAA
RNAcentral lists this ribosomal RNA (504 nucleotides) under uncultured bacterium. RNAcentral describes it as "partial 16S ribosomal RNA". It matches the Rfam family "Bacterial small subunit ribosomal RNA", at positions 30 to 523 of the family's 1533-position model. The record is from RNAcentral.